Molecule: small nuclear RNA, 107 nt
Organism: Gorilla gorilla gorilla (western lowland gorilla)
Lineage: Eukaryota; Metazoa; Chordata; Mammalia; Primates; Hominidae
Source: Ensembl
GUGCUUGCUUCGGCUGCACAUAUCCUAAAAUUGGAACAAUACAGAGAAAAUUAGCAUGGCCCCUGCACAGGGAGGCUGCACAAAGUUUUGAAGCAUUCCAUAUUUUG